GCCAACAGCUAGCUCUCUGCAACUCGCACAUGGUUGCCCACUGAAGCCAAGCAGGGCUGAGCCAGGUCAGUUCAUGGAUGGGAGACCACAUUCGAAAGCUAGGUUGCUGUUAGUG
RNAcentral lists this ribosomal RNA (115 nucleotides) under Danio rerio (zebrafish). Lineage: Eukaryota; Metazoa; Chordata; Actinopteri; Cypriniformes; Danionidae. The record is from RNAcentral.